RNAcentral lists this long non-coding RNA (573 nucleotides) under Bos taurus (domestic cattle). RNAcentral's name for it is "long non-coding RNA NONBTAT004181". Lineage: Eukaryota; Metazoa; Chordata; Mammalia; Artiodactyla; Bovidae. The record is from RNAcentral.
AUUUCGAUAUUUCGCUUCUCGCUUUUUUUCCCCCCUCAGCUGGGGUUUGUAAUCUCUAUUGUUCUUUAGGCUGACACCAGGUUUUGUGCUUCCUGAUUUUGAUGAACAGUUUCUUGUCUAGUCCCCCUAUCUCUUUAGUAAGCACGGUCCUUUCUGUAUUUUUCCCCCACCCUCUUGUCACAUCAAAAAGAGAGAUUUGACAGUUGUUUGAUUUGCCAUUCUCAUGAUGAAGGUUUUAGAUCAAAGCCAGAGCACCAUCAGUCACAUUUAUAACACAUUUUAGGACGAGAAAAAAAUCAAGCAAAUGGGGGACAUUUUCAGGGGACCUUCAGGAGAUGCCUUGGGACAGCCUUACAGGAGGACCAAUUCUGGAGCCUGGUGGGUACGUCUUCCAUACCUACCUAGGGGAAUGACAAAGGAGGCCCAGGACUGUGCCACCAAAAAAGAAACAAAAGGGUCACUACUGAUGGAAGACCUUCUGGCAGCAUGAUACCAGUGCCUCAAACACAAGCCUGACUUUGGGCCCGGUAGUUUCAAUUUGAGGAGUCUAUUCUAAAGAAACAGACUUGUGUA